RNA transcript from Andrographis paniculata, 1742 nucleotides. It is a transcript of the gene named serine/threonine protein phosphatase 2A 55 kDa regulatory subunit B beta isoform-like, with no coding region annotated. The record is from RefSeq and is a predicted model, not a curated record. Lineage: Eukaryota; Viridiplantae; Streptophyta; Magnoliopsida; Lamiales; Acanthaceae. The transcript is spliced from 5 exons.
CUAAGCAGCAAUCGUGCGCCGCAGCCCCCUUCGUCUUCUUUCGUUUUCUUUUUCUUUGUGGAUCUUCUGGUUCGUCUUAUUCUUCUUCGUGGUCGUCUUUUUCUUCGUGUUUUUCUUCACCGACUGGCUGUCCACCGCCCUACACCCCUGAACCUCGCACCGCCUCGCACCGCCUCACUGUCUUCGGCCGUCGACCGCGUUCCACUGCUGCCCGCAGACGUCCACUGCAAAAAAAAAGAGCCAAUUAGCGAAGGAUUUUGUUCACCAAUUUUAUUUCGCUCGCAGAUAGGACAAGUAGAUUUUCAAAUCCAUCGCUAUUAGGAAGGGAUUUUGGAAAAAGAUUUAAAUUUCCUCUACAAAUUAUUUUUUCAUUUUAGGCAAAAACUAAAAUAAAUAUAUCCUAAACCUGGUCCAAUAUCCCCCUCCAAUUCCAACCGAUUCUGCCCUCACGGAUCUGCUCGCCCUCGUCGACCAUCUGCUCUGCCGGGCGCCGCUUCAAGGCAGCCUAAAAACAACCAGAGCUUGGCAAUCAUCUCUUGUGUGGUUGAUUUUCACCUGAGCGCAGAAGUUUGAGGGAAACAACCGCUUUCGCAUCCUACGCUGCACAAGGGUACAGCUUCAUCGCUUCUGCGUUAGGCGUCGAUCUAGGCACUCCCCGCCUCUGUAAACGCUAUUGAUGCCUAGGAAUCCAAGGAUAAGCAGCCAUGUGACCUGUAUGAAAAUGACUCUGUUUUAUACAAAUUUGAGUGCUACUUAAGUGGUGACUGCCAGCGAGUGGCCACAAGUUCAUAUAGCAAUUUGUUCUGCGUAUUUGGUUGUUCUCCCAGAAGACCCGAAGCAAGAACAUUGGAAGAAAGCAAAAAUCCAGUGAGGUACAAUUUACUAUAUAGUUGGUGGAGGCAGAACACAUAUAUAAGUUUAUAUAUAUGUCUGUGUAUUGUUUGUAUGAAUUAAUAUUGCAAUCAGAAAAGGGGAGGGUUGGGUACAUCAACCACAAGAAUUACUUGGAAUAUAAGGUUUGGGGACCACCUCCAAAUUUAAAUCCAACUGCCACCACAUCAAUUGCAUAUCUCGUGUAUUAAUUAGUUUUGAAUUGUACCAUUUGGGGCGAGUCAUGUCGUUUCAUACUCACAUGUUUUGCAUUGUUCUAGCCGCACAGAUGGAAGGUCAGAGACCCCGGGGACUGAUGUCCUUACCCCGUUGACGGUGACAUUGUUGAAAUAGUAAGGGUUUUUGUUACAUCUGCUACUGUUCCGGAGGCUGCACUUAUUCUACGGACAACUUCCGGAGCACAAACACUCGGUGAGGUUGUCCGCGCCGAGCCAAUCGACUGGACAUUUAAAGAUGUACGCAACCACAUUUAGAAGAUUUUCUAAUGGAUUACAACUUAAUCAUCUCACAAAUAAAUUCUUAUAUAAUUUUGCACAAUGUUGGCAACUUGUUCGUCGCCCGUAACUACGGUGUACGGCCACUUUGACGGUGCAUGGGGCGUUGCAGCAUGGCACGUGAUUCUAUGAUGAUUGACGUUUGUUUGUGGAUUGAUGCUAAUUGAGUCCUUUAUGUUGGUUGAACUUGCUGUCUCUGCUCAUUUUGUGUUUUUGUUGCUACGUUUGCCAUAUAUGUUAGGCUACAUUGCGAAAUAUUUAUGUUUCCACACAGUGCGUACUUGCUACAACUUAUGGUGAUACAGAAUUGCUGUAAUAUUUUCAUAUUUUGUAAUAUCAUUUGGCAGUAUUUUCUCA